Molecule: ribosomal RNA, 515 nt
Filed under: uncultured haloarchaeon
Lineage: Archaea; Methanobacteriati; Methanobacteriota; Halobacteria; Halobacteriales; Halobacteriaceae
Description: bacterial SSU rRNA
Rfam family: Archaeal small subunit ribosomal RNA
Source: RNAcentral
AUAUCCUGGCCGGAGGACAUUGCUAUUGGGAUUCGAUUUAGCCAUGCUAGUCGAGCGAGUUCAGACUCGCGGCGAAUAGCUCAGUAACACGUGGCCAAGCUCCCCUUCAGUCAGCGAUACCCUCGGGAAACUGAGGUUAACAGCCGAUACAAAACGCCAGCUGGAAUGCGGCGUUUCAGAAAGACAUCGCUGAAGGAUGCGGCUGCGGCCGAUUAGGUAGACGGUGGGGUAACGGCCCACCGUGCCAGUAAUCGGUACGGGUGAUGAGAGUCAGAGCCCGGAGACGGAAUCUGAGACAAGAUUCCGGGCCCUACGGGGCGCAGCAGGCGCGAAACCUUUACACUGCACGGAAGUGCGAUAGGGGAAUCCCAAGUGCGAGGGCAUAUUAGCCCUCGCUUUUCUCGACUGUAAGGUGGUCGACGAAUAAGAGCUGGGCAAGACCGGUGCCAGCCGCCGCGGUAAUACCGGCAGCUCAAGUGAUGUCCCAUAUUAUUGGGCCUAAAGCGUCCGUAGCU